GUUGGUCAAAAGUUUCAGAUUUUCAAAGACCAAAACAGAAAGUGAUGCAUGAGGAAUUCCCAAUCAAAGGAAAUGUCAGGUCAGUCCAGGCCAGCCACCAAACAAUAGUUACUCAACACAUUGGAUAUUUUCUUAAGUUUAACUCAAGGAUCCUGAGCCUAAUUGUGUUGCAAUUGAACAAAGCUAACCAGGUACACAGCUGAAAUAGAAUCUGGGAUCUUGCUGAACUUCUGGCACUCUCAGCUUUCUGACGUUCUUUGAUGAAGAGAAUGACUUGUCAAGCAGCCCAGGAGACUGCUACAGGGCCCUCCGACGUGGCUGAGUGAGCACGUCAGUAUUAACCACUUUAAAAAUCUUAAAAACAGGAAUAAAACCAGACAGACCACCUGGCAUUAACUAAGGCACCAGAAAAGACAAUAUCGAACACAGCCCUGGAGACCCCACAUUUGUGCUGAGUGGUGCUGAUUUGGAAAUAUAUCCUUCCUUGUCCAGUACUUCCCGGGAGCAUAGAAACUAUGCCAUGUUCUUUGCAGC
This is a non-coding RNA of Chiloscyllium plagiosum (whitespotted bambooshark), 534 nucleotides long. NCBI's taxonomy places the organism in Eukaryota, Metazoa, Chordata, Chondrichthyes, Orectolobiformes, Hemiscylliidae. The record is from RefSeq and is a predicted model, not a curated record.